RNAcentral lists this ribosomal RNA (253 nucleotides) under uncultured bacterium. Its description in RNAcentral is "partial 16S ribosomal RNA". It matches the Rfam family "Bacterial small subunit ribosomal RNA", at positions 524 to 776 of the family's 1533-position model. The record is from RNAcentral.
UACGUAGGGGGCAAGCGUUGUCCGGAAUUAUUGGGCGUAAAGAGCGUGUAGGCGGUUCGGUAAGUCUGUCGUGAAAUCCUGAGGCUCAACCUCGGACGUGCGAUGGAUACUGCCGGGCUAGAGGAUGGUAGAGGCGAGUGGAAUUCCCGGUGUAGCGGUGAAAUGCGCAGAUAUCGGGAGGAACACCAGUAGCGAAGGCGGCUCGCUGGGCCAUUCCUGACGCUGAGACGCGAAAGCUAGGGGAGCGAACAGG